AUACGGGGGGUGCAAGCGUUACUCGGAAUCACUGGGCGUAAAGCGCGCGCAGGCGGCUAUUUAAGUUGGAUGUGAAAGCCUACGGCUCAACCGUAGAACUGCAUCCAAAACUAUUUAGCUAGAGUGUGGGAGAGGAAGAUGGAAUUAGUUGUGUAGGGGUAAAAUCCGUAGAGAUAACUAGGAAUACCAAAAGCGAAGGCAAUCUUCUGGAACACUACUGACGCUGAGGCGCGAAAGCGUGGGGAGCAAACAGGAUUAGAAACCCUAGUAGUCC
This 274-nucleotide ribosomal RNA is filed under the name uncultured bacterium. RNAcentral's name for it is "partial 16S ribosomal RNA". It matches the Rfam family "Bacterial small subunit ribosomal RNA", at positions 523 to 796 of the family's 1533-position model. The record is from RNAcentral.